RNAcentral lists this ribosomal RNA (292 nucleotides) under uncultured prokaryote. Its description in RNAcentral is "partial 16S ribosomal RNA". It matches the Rfam family "Bacterial small subunit ribosomal RNA", at positions 505 to 796 of the family's 1533-position model. The record is from RNAcentral.
GUGUCAGCCGCCGCGGUAAUACGUAGGUGGCAAGCGUUAUCCGGAAUUAUUGGGCGUAAAGCGCGCGUAGGCGGUUUUUUAAGUCUGAUGUGAAAGCCCACGGCUCAACCGUGGAGGGUCAUUGGAAACUGGAAAACUUGAGUGCAGAAGAGGAAAGUGGAAUUCCAUGUGUAGCGGUGAAAUGCGCAGAGAUGUGGAGGAACACCAGUGGCGAAGGCGACUCUCUGGUCUGUAACUGACGCUGAGGAGCGAAAGCGUGGGGAGCGAACAGGAUUAGAAACCCCUGUAGUCC